GUACCUUUUGUAUAAUGGGUCAGCGACUUAUAUUCUGUAGCAAGGUUAACCGCAUAGGGGAGCCGGAGGGAAACCGAGUCUUAAUUGGGCGUUAAGUUGCAGGGUAUAGACCCGAAACCCGGUGAUCUAGCCAUGGGCAGGUUGAAGGUUGGGUAACACUAACUGGAGGACCGAACCGACUAAUGUUGAAAAAUUAGCGGAUGACCUGUGGCUGGGGGUGAAAGGCCAAUCAAACCGGGAGAUAGCUGGUUCUCCCCGAAAGCUAUUUAGGUAGCGCCUCGUGAAUUCAUCUCCGGGGGUAGAGCACUGUUUCGGCUAGGGGGCCAUCCCGGCUUACCAACCCGAUGCAAACUGCGAAUACCGGAGAAUGUUAUCACGGGAGACACACGGCGGGUGCUAACGUCCGUCGUGAAGAGGGAAACAACCCAGACCGCCAGCUAAGGUCCCAAAGUCAUGGUUAAGUGGGAAACGAUGUGGGAAGGCCCAGACAGCCAGGAUGUUGGCUUAGAAGCAGCCAUCAUUUAAAGAAAGCGUAAUAGCUCACUGGUCGAGUCGGCCUGCGCGGAAGAUGUAACGGGGCUAAACCAUGCACCGAAGCUGCGGCAGCGACGCUGAUGCGUUGUUGGGUAGGGGAGCGUUCUGUAAGCCUGCGAAGGUGUGUCGUGAGGCAUGCUGGAGGUAUCAGAAGUGCGAAUGCUGACAUAAGUAACGAUAAAGCGGGUGAAAAGCCCGCUCGCCGGAAGACCAAGGGUUCCUGUCCAACGUUAAUCGGGGCAGGGUGAGUCGACCCCUAAGGCGAGGCCGAAAGGCGUAGUCGAUGGGAAACGGGUUAAUAUUCCCGUACUUGGUGUUACUGCGAAGGGGGGACGGAGAAGGCUAUGUUGGCCGGGCGACGGUUGUCCCGGUUUAAGCGUGUAGGUGUGUGUUCCAGGUAAAUCCGGUUCACUUUAACACUGAGGCGUGAUGACGAGGCACUACGGUGCUGAAGCAACAAAUGCCCUGCUUCCAGGAAAAGCCUCUAAGCAUCAGGUAACAUCAAAUCGUACCCCAAACCGACACAGGUGGUCAGGUAGAGAAUACCAAGGCGCUUGAGAGAACUCGGGUGAAGGAACUAGGCAAAAUGGUGCCGUAACUUCGGGAGAAGGCACGCUGACACGUAGGUGAAGUGAUUUACUCAUGGAGCUGAAGUCAGUCGAAGAUACCAGCUGGCUGCAACUGUUUAUUAAAAACACAGCACUGUGCAAACACGAAAGUGGACGUAUACGGUGUGACGCCUGCCCGGUGCCGGAAGGUUAAUUGAUGGGGUCAGCGCAAGCGAAGCUCCUGAUCGAAGCCCCGGUAAACGGCGGCCGUAACUAUAACGGUCCUAAGGUAGCGAAAUUCCUUGUCGGGUAAGUUCCGACCUGCACGAAUGGCGUAAUGAUGGCCAGGCUGUCUCCACCCGAGACUCAGUGAAAUUGAACUCGCUGUGAAGAUGCAGUGUACCCGCGGCAAGACGGAAAGACCCCGUGAACCUUUACUAUAGCUUGACACUGAACAUUGAGCCUUGAUGUGUAGGAUAGGUGGGAGGCUUUGAAGUGUGGACGCCAGUCUGCAUGGAGCCGGCCUUGAAAUACCACCCUUUAAUGUUUGAUGUUCUAACGUGGACCCGUGAUCCGGGUUGCGGACAGUGUCUGGUGGGUAGUUUGACUGGGGCGGUCUCCUCCUAAAGAGUAACGGAGGAGCACGAAGGUUGGCUAAUCCUGGUCGGACAUCAGGAGGUUAGUGCAAUGGCAUAAGCCAGCUUGACUGCGAGCGUGACGGCGCGAGCAGGUGCGAAAGCAGGUCAUAGUGAUCCGGUGGUUCUGAAUGGAAGGGCCAUCGCUCAACGGAUAAAAGGUACUCCGGGGAUAACAGGCUGAUACCGCCCAAGAGUUCAUAUCGACGGCGGUGUUUGGCACCUCGAUGUCGGCUCAUCACAUCCUGGGGCUGAAGUAGGUCCCAAGGGUAUGGCUGUUCGCCAUUUAAAGUGGUACGCGAGCUGGGUUUAGAACGUCGUGAGACAGUUCGGUCCCUAUCUGCCGUGGGCGCUGGAGAACUGAGGGGGGCUGCUCCUAGUACGAGAGGACCGGAGUGGACGCAUCACUGGUGUUCGGGUUGUCAUGCCAAUGGCACUGCCCGGUAGCUAAAUGCGGAAGAGAUAAGUGCUGAAAGCAUCUAAGCACGAAACUUGCCCCGAGAUGAGUUCUCCCUGAGACUUAGAGUCUCCUGAAGGAACGUUGAAGACGACGACGUUGAUAGGCCGGGUGUGUAAGCGCAGCGAUGCGUUGAGCUAACCGGUACUAAUGAACCGUGAGGCUUAACCUU
RNAcentral lists this ribosomal RNA (2346 nucleotides) under Salmonella enterica subsp. enterica serovar Johannesburg. Its description in RNAcentral is "partial 23S ribosomal RNA". It matches the Rfam family "Bacterial large subunit ribosomal RNA", at positions 601 to 2925 of the family's 2925-position model. The record is from RNAcentral. Lineage: Bacteria; Pseudomonadati; Pseudomonadota; Gammaproteobacteria; Enterobacterales; Enterobacteriaceae.